Long non-coding RNA from Capsella rubella, 183 nucleotides. RefSeq lists it as uncharacterized. NCBI's taxonomy places the organism in Eukaryota, Viridiplantae, Streptophyta, Magnoliopsida, Brassicales, Brassicaceae. The record is from RefSeq and is a predicted model, not a curated record. The transcript has 3 exons.
CUCGUGUUCUAACCAUUUUUGUUUGCAAAGAAUUCAAAAUACAAUCCAAACUUCAACACUACACCUUUUGUUUCUAUAAUUUCCUGCUGAAAGAUCUUCACGGAAUGGGAUUGUUCGGUAUCAUAUGUCGCAAUUCUACAAUGGUCCUCCUCCUAGGAACAAACAAGAACUAUUUAAUCGUUG